UCGCAUAUCAGUGUGACAGGCUGAAUAUUGACCACCUGACCAUGGUUCAGAGAGAUGAAGUUUUAUAUAGCACAGUGUCUGACCAGUUAUGUUGAAAUACCAACAAA
RNAcentral lists this small RNA (107 nucleotides) under Spisula solidissima (Atlantic surf clam). The record is from RNAcentral. Lineage: Eukaryota; Metazoa; Mollusca; Bivalvia; Venerida; Mactridae.